RNAcentral lists this ribosomal RNA (492 nucleotides) under uncultured bacterium. RNAcentral describes it as "partial 16S ribosomal RNA". It matches the Rfam family "Bacterial small subunit ribosomal RNA", at positions 29 to 507 of the family's 1533-position model. The record is from RNAcentral.
AGUGAACGCUGGCGGUAGGCCUAACACAUGCAAGUCGAACGGCAGCACAGUAAGAGCUUGCUCUUACGGGUGGCGAGUGGCGGACGGGUGAGGAAUACAUCGGAAUCUACUUUUUCGUGGGGGAUAACGUAGGGAAACUUACGCUAAUACCGCAUACGACCUACGGGUGAAAGCAGGGGAUCUUCGGACCUUGCGCGAUUGAAUGAGCCGAUUUCGGAUUAGCUAGUUGGCGGGGUAAAGACCCACCAAGGCGACGAUCCGUAGCUGGUCUGAGAGGAUGAUCAGCCACACUGGAACUGAGACACGGUCCAGACUCCUACGGGAGGCAGCAGUGGGGAAUAUUGGACAAUGGGCGCAAGCCUGAUCCAGCCAUACCGCGUGGGUGAAGAAGGCCUUCGGGUUGUAAAGCCCUUUUGUUGGGAAAGAAAAGCAGCAGGUUAAUACCCCGCUGUUCUGACGGUACCCAAAGAAUAAGCACCGGCUAACUUCGUG